This 253-nucleotide ribosomal RNA is filed under the name uncultured bacterium. RNAcentral describes it as "partial 16S ribosomal RNA". It matches the Rfam family "Bacterial small subunit ribosomal RNA", at positions 524 to 776 of the family's 1533-position model. The record is from RNAcentral.
UACGGAGGGUGCAAGCGUUAUCCGGAUUCACUGGGUUUAAAGAGUGCGUAGGCGGGCAGGUAAGUCCGUGGUGAAAUCUCUGAGCUUAACUCAGAAACUGCCAUGGAUACUAUUUGUCUUGAAUAUUGUGGAGGUAAGCGGAAUAUGUCAUGUAGCGGUGAAAUGCUUAGAUAUGACAUAGAACACCAAUUGCGAAGGCAGCUUACUACACAGUUAUUGACGCUGAGGCACGAAAGCGUGGGGAUCAAACAGG